UACACAUGUGGCUGCUUGAAAAUUAAGGAGUAAUUUGAUCAUCUAGCUUAUCUGCAAUAAUUUGUUAAAGGCCUGAAGCAACAUCUGAUUCAAGCAUAUUUAAGGGUCAUAAUAAUGAAAGGUUCAAUGAUGCCGACUAGCUGAAACCUGAUCAAUUGAUCAUUUAUAUGAAUUUGGAAUUCCCUAUAUAGGAAUCUUCUUAAUGCCUCGCUGCAUGAAAGCUCAGUUUCUUUUUCUAUGUGGCUUGGCUUAGCCCCACCUAAAGUGGAAGUUCUGGUCUGGUUAGCUUGCCGGGGUUGUUUGUGUACAAAAGAUUGGCUGUGUAAUAUUGGCAUCAUUCCCUCUUCCUGAAAUCAAUGCACUCGUUGCCUGGUCAAAAUUGAGACAGUUUCUCACAUUUUUCUUGGCUGUCGGCACUCUUGGCUUAUUGGAAUUGGUUCCUUAACAUUAUGUUUGUCUUCCAAACUCCUUACCUUCCUUUUUUCAUGAACGGGGUGCAUUAAUUCAUGGAAGCUUUAAACAGAAAUUCUGGAUCAGUCUAUUCCAUGCCAUAGUGUGGUCUAUCUGGUUAUCAAGAAACGGCAAGGUUUUCAAUAUGGCAAGGACAUCCCCACCUCCUUCUCUCUUUGCACUUUAAUCCUCCACUGCCUUUCCACUUCGAUGAAAGCAUUGGAUGCUAACUUCCCAUUCUCAGGAACUGACCUCCUUAUUACUUCUGCCACAAUCAGGUCACCCCCCCACCACAUGGCUCAAAUGGAAUGUUAAUGCCUCUUCCUUGGGCAAACCUGGUAAAAGUGCUAUUGAAGGGGUCUUUCUUUAGGAACUAAAAUGCCAUGUAUUUUCUCGUCCUUCGGGGAUCUUGGAAUCUAAUGAAGCUGAAAUUAAGGUCAUCCUUGAAGCUUUAGAGCUGUCAUCUUCUCCGCCAGCACUUGGAUGUACCUCUUCCCCAAUCCUCAUUGAGAUCGACUCAGCACUCAGCACCCAGGGUCUGAAUCGUUUGGAAGAUUUUGUGGCAAUCCUUUAAUGGCCACCUUUUGCCUUGCCCCUAGUUGUUAUGUUUAUUGCCUGCUAUAUCUUCUUUCUGAAUCGAGUGGAUGUUGCUUUUGGAUUUGACUUACUUUUGCUCUGUGUCUCUUUUUGGAGGAUAGUGUCUUCAUGUGUCACAGUAUCUGUCAUGUCUCGCUAGUGUUUUGGUCAUUAGCUAUUUGAAGACUUUUGGACCUUGUGUUGUUUUUAUGGCUUGUUUUGGAUUGUAUUGCAUUUUGUCAGUCUUGUUUUGUCCUUCCAGGUUUUUCCAUUUAGCAUGCCGUGUCCUAGGCCGGGUGCUCUGAGGAGGUCUAUUGACCUGGGUUUAGUUCGGAUGUGUUUAUGCUAAAUUUUUCCUGGGAGUUGCUGACAAAUCUCACAUGACUCCAACAACUUUAUAUUCAGUAUUGUCCACGGAUAACAAAAGUGUCUUCUGCUUUGCAGCAUCUAACCUCUCUUGAGAUUCUUGUCUUUGUGGCUUGCAAGGAGCUUGAUUUAUCUGAUUCAGAGGAUCAUAGUGAUAUGCCGUGGCAGUGCCUUAGAAGUUUCCUAGAACUUCUACUUGGAAGUUUGUUCAAAUUUGCAUCACUCCACACUCUGCGAAAACUCACAAUCAAAAAUUGUACCAAUUUGAUAUCUUUACUGGAGUGGAUGGGAAGCCUCACCACAUUACAAUAUUUAUGGAUUGAAGAAUGUCCUCAACUAUCAGGAAGAUGCAAAAAAAAAAGGGUGCUGAUUGGCCCAAGAUUGCUCACAUCCCAAAUAUUAGUAUUGACAAUGGAUGGAUUCAAGUGGAUGGCUGCUACAAACUAUGAUCAGAAGAAUCGGAUUGACUUCUCUUAGUAGCAGUUGUUCAUAGAUGUUAAAGAAUAGGUGUGUAACCAUGACAAUUGGUGGAUGUACUGCUAUCUCUUCUGAACUUUAGGAUGGGGAUUCACUGAGUAGCUUCAUAUAUGAAAUUUCGAUGAAGGGCAUUGUCAUUGAUCAACUUCUCUUCACAUUCCUUUUUUUUAACUGGAGUUGCCACUAUGAAGAAGUCCCACAAUCCCUUGUAGCUGGUCAGUGCCUGAGUUAAUAAAAUUAGGGGUAUUCGGUUCCGAUUCGGUUCGGGGUUUGGCUAGGAACUGAAACCGAACCAAAAUUUCGAUACAGUUUCAGUUCGGUUCGUCAUUAUUUCGGUUCCAGUUCGGUACGGUUCUUGGUUCUUUGGUUCGGUACGGUUACGGUUCGGUUUUCGGUUCUUAAAACAAUUUUAUAUCAUUAUUUCUUUAAAAAGUCAUUCUUAAAUUAGCAUUUAAGUUUUAAAUUGGAUUAUUAAUACAUAAUAUAUCAUAUAAUAUAUAUUUUAGCUAUACCUAAAGUGUAUAUAUAAUUUAAGAUUAAAUAUAUUAUAUAGUAUAAUAAUAUAAAUAUAUCAUAUAAUAUACAUUUUAAUUAUUUAUUAAUCAUAUAAUAUGUUAUUUACCUCGGUGGACACCCAAACUCACCUCAAAGCAGUUGUUCAUAGAUGUUGAUGUUGACAAUUGGAUGGGAAUCAUUGUGAUGGUCAUUGUCAUCUAAACUGCGUAAUGCAGAGAUGGAAAAAGCAAAAUGAUAUUCAACGACAUUUCUUCCAAUCUAAUUCACACGUUUGAUCACACAGUGUGGAAAAAAAUGACCAUCUUGGGUUUCUUCCAAAAAAAUGUAAAGCAUUUGCCCCAAAUUGAAGCCUUAUCUUGUGAGCUUGAUCUGUUCAAAGUGCCUGCCCCUAGCCUGAUGGACAUUUUUAGUGUAAACAAUAUGACCAUUGAUCUUCAAGGAGUUAUAUGGAAGCACUUUAGACUCGGAUGAAGUUUUGGGUUUCAAUGCUUUGAGACCUUCAUAUAAUGGCAGCCGUUAUCUGAAAUUAAUAAACAGUUGUAGAUAUUCCUUUUGUAGUGUUGUGUUGAAAGUGUUUCUUUGAACAUUCUAUGCUACAAUUUGGAUGGUUCUAUCUACUUCUGCAAGUGAAGACCUCUGUCCAUCUCAUUUAUCUGUAAAUGGCUGCCAACCUUAUCAUGUUCUUUUCAAAAUUUGAAGUAUUCCUCUAUAAUUACCUCAAAUUGAAGUUUCAUCUCCCUUGCCUAGAGAAGCUGCUGAAUGCAAGGAUUUUCAUCUGUACAAUAACGAAUGCAGAAUGCUAUAGUGCUUCUCUUCUUAAUAUUUAAUGAAUGGCACCUCUUGGACGUUGAUGAACUUCAAAUUGCUGCCACUUUAUAACAACUUCUAGAAUUUCUUUAUUGAUGACUUCUUCAAGUAAGGUACAACUUCCAUUUUGAAGAUCAACGGCCAGUUUGUCUUCUGCUAUGCGGGAUGCAGUGGUCGACCAAUCAUUGGUUUUGUAAACAGAAUGAGAUUCAACAAUUCACAUUUCUUCAAAUCUAACUUAUUCCUUCCUUCUGGUUGUGUGGUACAUAUGAUUACUACUGGGUUGUUUUUUCUAUCUUUUAUUGUUAUAUUUUCUUGUAGAUGAACAAUUAAAUAUCAAACAACCCAUAGUUCUACCGUUUUUUGAUUUGGUUUCUGGGAAAACAAAAUGAUAAUCAGAAGUUUCUUCUAGAAAAUGUAAAGCGUUUUCCCAAAAUUGAAGUCUAAUCCCCAGGCAUGUGAUAUGGAAGAAACAUGCUCUGUUCAAUGCUCCUUUUUUAUUAUUAUUAUUAUUUUUUUAUAUAUGAGUUUUACAUUUUCAUAUAUAUUUUCAUCUGUUUCUUCACUUUAAUCAUUUAUGCGAUUGUAGAAUUGUUUGUAACUUUUUUUCAGUACUUAAGGUUGUUGAAGAUUAAUGCAGCGAAUGGAGGAACUUCAGCUACUGUUAUCCUUUUAAUGCUGUUCUGCAAAUAUUGUGAAUCAGUAGAUUGAAGCAUUUCCAUGGGAAAAGCAGUUGUGAAUAGGCCUCUCUUAUGCAAGAAAGUGUUUGUUUUGGCACAUAAACAGUAUAUAUGAUCGUUGCUCAAGAGUUUCACAAAAGCUAUUAGGAAGUUGCGGAAAGUGAAAGAGAAGCAGAUGCACGUCCAUCAUUGACCCAUAAUUACCAUCUCUUGUAAGGCAAGUACAUCCUGUUGUCUUCUUUAAAUUCUGUAAGCUACCACAUGACUUCUUCAAAUAGUUGUAGUCUUCAAAUCACAUUGAGCCUAUCAAAUCUGAUUCCUAGUUUACUGUGUAAACUGACUCAAAAGAUUGUUUUCAUUAAGGUAUGACUGUUCAAGACUCCCAAUGAAUUUCCUGUGCAUUCCUGUUGUUGUUGAGUGAUUGGUUCUAUCCCCAUUUGCAUCAUUAUGCAGCAGAUAUUCUGAGUGAAUGAUUGAAUGAAUCGUUGACCCAUAAUUCAAAGUUACACGAGUUGCAACUCGAAAAUGGUGGAGUUAUUGCCUGCUCUAGCACAGAGUUGUUCAGAUGGAGAUUUUUUUACAGCUUGAAGCACAGAUUUAGUUCAAGCUGAUUUAAGGACUAUAAUCAUAAACGAAUGAUACUAUGAGCUGCUCGCUUGCACAACUAUAUUAAUGGAAUAUCUAGAGCUUACAUGCAAUUUAGUAUCGCAUGAGAAAUGGAGAUUUUGAUUGCAAAUUUGUAUCAGGCCAGAAGUUUCUGAGUUUGAGCUUUGGAUUCUCCAAUAAGAUAGAAUGGACUGGCACAUAAACAAUAUGACCAUUGCUCAAGAGUUUCACAAAAGCUAUUCAAAAGUUGGGAAAAGUGACAGAGCAGAUGCACAUCCAUUGAUCAUGGCAUUUCUUGCACAUGCAAAUAGUUGUAAUUACUAUCUCUUGUAAGGCCGGCACAUCCUGUUCUCUUUAAAUUCUUGGAUGUGAACAUUAUUUAUGCAGUGGACGUUCUAUGUAAAUAAUGGCAUGAAUAGUUGACCCAUAACCGAAAGUUUCACGAUUAUGCAACUUGAAAAUGCAAGAGUUAUUACCUGCUCUAGCACAGAGUUGAUCAGAUGGAGUUGUUUUACAGGUACUGAAGACAAAGCCCAGUGGAUAUUAGACUGGGAUUUUGGAGUCCGGAUUUGCAGAAGUGUCAGAAGUGUAUAAGUUUGUCACCUCCUCAGCAAUGCAUGUAGAUAGGGCUCACAUUAGUCAUAUUAUGUAUUUUGUGUAUUACAAUUAUUUCAUAUGUUGUAAUGCAAUCGAAGAAAUUGUAUUUAAUAUGUAUAGGAUGUAAAUUAAUAGAUUAGCUCUUUCAUCUGAAAUUAAAUUGUAUAUUAUAUAAAUUAAUGAAAAUAUGAGAAUUUAUAUAUAUAAAUCGUGCAUUAAUGAAUAUGUAUGGAAAUGAAUGGAUUUGUACAAA
Long non-coding RNA from Hevea brasiliensis (rubber tree), 5328 nucleotides. RefSeq lists it as uncharacterized. The record is from RefSeq and is a predicted model, not a curated record. The transcript has 17 exons. Lineage: Eukaryota; Viridiplantae; Streptophyta; Magnoliopsida; Malpighiales; Euphorbiaceae.